This 253-nucleotide ribosomal RNA is filed under the name uncultured bacterium. Its description in RNAcentral is "partial 16S ribosomal RNA". It matches the Rfam family "Bacterial small subunit ribosomal RNA", at positions 524 to 776 of the family's 1533-position model. The record is from RNAcentral.
UACGUAGGGGGCUAGCGUUGUCCGGAAUUAUUGGGCGUAAAGAGCUUGUAGGCGGUCUGUCGCGUCUGCUGUGAAAAUCCGGGGCUCAACCCCGGACUUGCAGUGGGUACGGGCAGACUAGAGUGUGGUAGGGGAGACUGGAAUUCCUGGUGUAGCGGUGAAAUGCGCAGAUAUCAGGAGGAACACCGAUGGCGAAGGCAGGUCUCUGGGCCACUACUGACGCUGAGAAGCGAAAGCAUGGGGAGCGAACAGG